CAAAAUGGAAGGUACCAGCCUUGAGGUAGCUUUUGAAUAUUAACAGUUGACGAAAGACUUUUUCGGAGACGUUUUACUGUAUAUGAUCGGGGAAGAGACUUUUUGAGCAUGGACAGCUCGUGGUAAAAAUCAUCCGAUACGCCGUAGGAAUCUAAAAGAUAGAGAAUUUGUUGUACAGAUGAAGGUGAAUCAGGUGUUAGAGCAGAGAAUGAAGAAGUUGACAAAGAAACUGGUGUUGACAAUGGAGAGAGGGAGGAAGAUGAUGAUGGCUCUGUAUGAAGAAAUUGAUAUUAACACUGACACUCUACUCAUGCUACUACACAUCUACUCAGCACUCAAGUAUCUCCAAAGCUGCUAUAUACACUCAAUUCCUUACCUUAAGACCUUAAUAGCUUCCUCAGGAUUAACAAUGUCAGAUUUAAUCGUGCUCCUUUCAUCUUCAAUUUCUUCUCCAACGAGCUUAGCAAUGAGACUCCUACCAGUUGCUUAUUCAGCUGGCUGACCAUAGUUGUAGCUGAAUUGGCUAAUUGUGCUGCAUACCACUGGUAGAGAAACUUAUUUGGUAUAGAGAGACAAAAGCAAACAUCAUUAGCAUUAGCAGCUCUGUAUAUAUUAGUACAAGCACUCUCAAUAGUGACAGAGGACAUUAUCAUUACACAGCUGCAAUGCAGAUAAUGCAAUGACCGCAAUGGGACAGUUCAAAAUUUUUGCUACUUUGAACGGCUUAGAAGAUCUAUUUAAAAGGGCAAAGUGAAACAAAGGAAAUUUAUUUUACAAUACUCUGUUAUAAUUCGUUAAAAAUGAAAAAUAUUGUAAACACGCUAAUAUGUCAAUGUAAAAUGGCGGCGUCAAAGUCUUCAUCUUCGUGACAAAAGUUCCACGGUUUAACUACAUUUCUUUAGCCAACCUACAAAGUAAAAACAGGUGUUAUAUGAUGUUAAUAAGUUCUCUAAGUGAAACGAAGCAAAAUACGUUUAUCAUUAGAAAUGGACGGGAGAAAAUACAGCUCCCUUUGUAUUGCUAAGAAUGGUCAUUUUUAAAAAUGCGGAAAUAUACUAAUAAUUUGU
Molecule: long non-coding RNA, 1067 nt
Organism: Amphimedon queenslandica
Lineage: Eukaryota; Metazoa; Porifera; Demospongiae; Haplosclerida; Niphatidae
Exons: 5
Source: RefSeq, a predicted model, not a curated record